Molecule: long non-coding RNA, 1713 nt
Organism: Betta splendens (Siamese fighting fish)
Lineage: Eukaryota; Metazoa; Chordata; Actinopteri; Anabantiformes; Osphronemidae
Exons: 2
Source: RefSeq, a predicted model, not a curated record
AGGAUCUUCACCAUGCCGUCUGUGUCAGCGUUGGUUUUGGCUCGACUGUUGGCUGCGAAAGGGAAUUUGCCAACUUUGUACGGGACGUUCUGUAGAGAAGGAGCAGAGUCAGAGCGGGUUUCACCUGGAAGCUUUGAACCCCACAUGCUGGAACCCAUGACUCCUGACUCGCCUCGUCUUUGAGCUGCUCCUCUGUCUUGCCCACCCAGGCCACCUCGGGGUGCGUGUAGAUCACGGAGGGAACACAGUUGUAGUCUAUGUGCACAGCACCACCAGCCAUGCCCUCCACGCAGAUGAUGCCCUCGUCCUCGGCCUUGUGGGCCAACAUAGGCCCUGCGACAACAUCACCGAUGGCAUAAAUACUGAAACAGGAGUAGGAACAAAUAAGGAAAUGCCAACAAAGCACUGUAUUUACAUUUGCAAGCCGGACUCAGUGGUACCUGGGUACUUUGGUCUGGAAGCGAUUGUUGACAGGUAUGCGGCCCCUGUUGUCCAGCUCGAUGCCCACAGAAUUCAAACCCAGGUUCUCUGUGAAAGGUCGUCUGCCGAUGCAGACCAGCAGGACGUCACAGGUCAGGGUCUCAUUUUUCCCUCCAGCUGCUGCCUCGACACUGAAACAAGUCAACACACACAGUUACAAACUGCUUACAUGAGCCUGGUUCUGUUGGGUCUCUGGAUCCUUGGCUUCAUAUUAAACACCCUGAUAAAUCUGUAUUUUAAAUUCUAUCAUCAUUGUAUCAUUAUCAUCAUCUGGCUCUGUUAACGCUGGUUAAGUAUUCCACCUUGAGCAUCUUUAUGUGUAACAGGCAUCUAAAAAAUCUGGCUGUAAUUUAUAAUCCAGAAAUGGAAAUUUGUAGUCAGUUUAUGUUUUAUUUUUUUUCACUUCAGGUCACUGAACUUUAACACCAGACUCCAAUAUCCCAAAGGAACAUUAAGAUUUGCGAGUAAUUUACUCACGCCACAUCAAUCUUGCCGUCGGGCCUCUUUACGGCUCCCAACACUUUAGUGCCGAGCUUGAACUUCAGGCCCUGCUUCUGCAGGAUGCGCUGGAAGUUCUUGGAGACCUCCAUGUCAAUGCCCAUGCCACCAACGUGUCCCAAGAACUCUACCGCUGUCACAUUAGACCCAAGCCGCUGCCACACUGACCCCUGCAGGAUGGAAGGAUCAGAACCAAGGCUUAGAACUGUCUGACAAAACAACAAACUCAGGUGCAAAAAGACUGACAGGUCAUAAAUGACUAUCAAACAUUUAAAGUUUUGUAAAUUACGCUGACCAGCUCUACUCCAAUGACUCCAGCGCCAAUAACGAUCAGCUCCUCUGGAACUUUCUUUAGAGACAAAGCUCCUGUCGAUGAAACAACCGUCUCCUCAUCAAUCUACAAAAAAAAAAAAAAAAAACAUUUCCGUUGAUUGUAGCAACAUGUAUCCAACUUGAUGUGAAGAACAGAUAAGAGUCUCACAACUACAAAAGAAAAUAAAACCCAGCUGUACCUGAAUCCCGGGGAAAGGCGUGACCUCAGAGCCGGUGGCAAUGAGGAUGUUCUUGGUGUUGAUCACCUGCUCGCUGCCGUCUGCUGCUGUGGCGGUCACCUGGUUCUUCCCAGUCACUCUCCCAAAACCACUGACAUGGGUCACCUGAACAGAGACGACUUCCAAUUACCACCAUACCAGCGGUGUGACUAGAUGUGACAUAACAAUAAAGAGGGAAAAAGUG